GGAGAGGUACCCAAGUGGCCAAAGGGAGCAGACUGUAAAUCUGCCGGCAUCAGCCUUCGAAGGUUCGAGCCCUUCCCUCUCCA
RNAcentral lists this transfer RNA (83 nucleotides) under Deltaproteobacteria bacterium CG11_big_fil_rev_8_21_14_0_20_49_13. RNAcentral describes it as "tRNA-Tyr". It matches the Rfam family "tRNA". Rfam says of the family: Transfer RNA (tRNA) molecules are approximately 80 nucleotides in length. Lineage: Bacteria; Deltaproteobacteria. The record is from RNAcentral.